CUCAGGAAUGCUGGCAUGACACAAGAAGAAAUGCCGGAACACUAAUUCUCCGGUGCAAAGCUUCUCAUUCUGACACUUCUACUAACACGCGGCUGGGCACUGGGUCCUGGAGACGCAAAUGUCAGAGGAAGAUAUGUGAACCGUAGGUCCUGGCCGAGGAGGUGACAUUCAGGAUGCCCUUUCCAUCACAUGUCAAAGCAGCCAAACAGCUUCAGUUACAGAACAGCACUGACAGAGGCUCUGCUUGAUGACACUUGCCCGUCACCCUGGAAGCAGGCUGGAUGUCCUUGUGGGAGCUGCUUUGCUGGUGAGGCUGCGCUUUGAGCCCAGUAAGUGACUUCAAUUGAAGAUGAGAAAUGUCUACCUCCUCUCCACCAUUCUCUGGUACUCCACUCUCAUCAGGAAGCCCCUGCACCUGGCCUGUGUGCGGGUGAUGAGCUGUGCCAGCUUCUCAUCCCUCAUCUCCUCCAGGAGUCCCAGCAGCCCAGCUUUGAAGAACACCUUGAGAAAGGGAAGGUUGCAGCACAUCACUGUCAGUCUUGACAGUGACCUUCCCUGAUUCUCUGCUUUGGAUCGUCCCCUUCACAAAGGAUUCCUUUGCGUGUACCACAAAGACGGAUGUCUUGGCAUCAAAAGGCCUGUUCUGGGCCUCGAUUCUCUCCUUUUCCGACUUCCUGAGGGCCUGGAGUCCAUCAGGACUAGAAGUAAACUACAGCACAGUCAGAAGAGGCAGAAUGAGAGAAAUCUAUGGAUACAGGUGGUCCAGCACAGACUUACGGUGUGGGUGAAGUGCUCCAGUAAUGACAUCCAGAAAUGCUGAAAACAGAUCUCAUUCUGCUUUCUCAGCGGAAGAGAGCUGGGCAGUAGAUUCCGGCCAAGGAGAUGACAUUCAGGAUGCCCUUUCUAUCACCCACCAAAGCAGCUGAGAGGUUCGUGUUACAGAGCAGAUUCUGCGCUCUUCAGCAAGGGCUUGAUCUUGAAGAACAGCUUCAUCCAGGGCCAGUGCUUCACGUUCAUGAAUGCACGAAUGUUGUAUUGGAUGCAGAAAAUGGACUCUCUGAAAGGAAGCCCCUGCACCUGGCCUGCGUGCGGGUGAUGAGCUGUGCCAGCUUCUCAUCCCUCAUCUCUUCCAAGAGGCCUAUCAACCCAGCUUUGAAGAACACCUUAGCACGCCGUUGCACCGCAGCUGAUGAAGCACCAGCUCAUGCUCCAUGGCACCUAACAAUCCAGAGCAGAGAGAAAUGCUACGUUCUGUAAUAACGAGGGGAAGAGCGGCACCAUAAUGACAACCUUCUACAUAGAUAUAACUGGUAUUUUAUGAGGCAGUCAGAAACAGACUGCAGUAGGCACUCAUGAUGGGCCAUAUGGAGCACACUACUGAUUCCUGUUUCCCGCGCUUAAAGCAACAGGAAGAGAAGUGACAAGCUGAGUUUUAUAUCUCUGCAGUAUAUAUCUGACCUGCAAGGGCUGCACUUCACUGGGAUCAGAAGCAAACCACAGCACAGUUAAAAGAGAAGAGGCAGACUGAAGGCCGUCACUGGAUACAGACUCUAUCCCCCAAAGAGGAGAAAGGAUUCAGUUAUGCUGAAAAUAGAUAAGCCCCUCUUGAGACAGGGAUCAGGAAGCUGCCUCCCUUUCUGCCAGCCCUUAAGAUGUGUGUUUUCUUCUCAUGAUCCCUGGGGUUAGCCGAGAGACGAGGACGGAGGAGGCAUUUUUUUAGCUCAGCAGAACAGCCAGACUGGAGAGGGAACUGGAAAUGUCUACAGGCUGCUUGUGUUGGCGAGUGGGAACCUCCCUCUCACGUGUGUUCAGGGUUGUCAAGCUCAUGAACUGGAAACACGAGAAUAUACCUGUACGGCAGGAGGUUUUGCAGCAGGAAAAGGAAUGUUGGUCUGUAGUCUAGUGGUCCCCGAUCUUUGCCCCUAGCAACUAUGCUCAGGCCCCUCUGCUCCUCUACCUAGACUAGACUGCCCUCCAAGAAGAAAGGGUUUGGAGUUAUAUGGAUAUGAAUGCUCUCACCACAAAGAGGACAAACCAAGUACCAUGUGAUGCUAGAAGUGUGGUUGGCUGAUUGUAGGACACCAUCAUCCCUUUUGCAUGACAAUGGUGAGUCCUCAUCUGAAACGGUUGGCCCAGUUUAAGGCUCCCCAGAUCAAAAGGGAUGUGAACUCAUGAGAGAGGAUCCAGCAAAAGGCUAGCAAGAUCGGCAAGGGUCUAGAAAACUUGUGCUAUGAAGAGAGCAUGAGGGCAUGGUUAGUCUGAGGACAAAAAGGCUAAUGUACAUGAGCGGCAGUUACAAAGAUAAUGCACCAAGAUUUUUUCAUGAUUAGCAGACAAUGUAACAGGGGGCAAUGACCACAAGUUGCUGCUUGAAAGUCUCCAGUUAGGACAUCAGGAAAAUUCUUCACUAUUGGGUAAUGCAGAAAUGGCAUAGGUUGCCCAGAGAGAUCGUGGAGCCUCCAUCCACAAAGCUUGGUUAGUCAAAGCCAUGACUGACCUGACCAACAUGGGCAAUAAAUGUGUUUGAAGUGGCAGACAGAACUGAAGACCUCCAGCUGUUCCUUCACAACAGCAUUUCUGUAGGUUUGAUGUAGAAGUUCUCUCUAUAUAAAGUAGACAAUUUUUCAAAGCUAAGGACGGAAGGUAUCUGCAGCUUCAUGGUUUGUGCUAAGAAACAGAAAUUUUCCUGGAGUCCUGAAAAACAGCUUGUCUCAAGGGGACCAUUGGACGUGAAUCUUUGACCUCACUGCGUUGUUGGAAAGUUAAUUCCAUGCAACUUGUCAAAGCAUAUCCCUCCAGAAGACCAGUUCCAGAAUACCACUUCUCAAGAAUAUCAUUUGGAAACAUCCUCAGCAGCAGUAGGCUUCAGUAGUUUCCAGUCCUUGAAGAUCAGUGGGUCACAGAGGCAGAGUCAGGGAACUGGGGGGGUCACUAGGGCAGCAAAGUACAUCACAUCACAUGGGAAAGAAGUUCCACCAGGUGAGGAGCAGGAAGACUACAGGAGGGUCCUUUUGUUAUCACAGGCUGGACACAUUCAUGGUGGUCACUGUGUGCUGGUAAGUAUUUCCCCAUUUUCCAAGCAAUUCCUGUUGCAGGAAUUUAGAGAUCUGGUACAAACCUUUUCCAUUCUUAGUCACCAUUUGUCAGAAAAUAUAUAUACAGGCCAGUGAGCAGGAGCUAACAGCACCACUGUGUGUCAUUUCUGACCAUAACAUAACACUGAAGGAAAUAAGGUUACACGAUGCCUCUGCCCAUGGCGGAAGAGCACAAGAUGAUCUUUAAAGGUCCCUUCUAACCCAAACCAUUCUGUGGUUCCGUGAAUGGACGCAUUGAGUGAGGUCAAAGAAAAAUGUAGACUCACACCUGAGACAUUUUUCAUCAUUGCCUCCCCAGAUGCCCACCCUCCACGACGUCCCACCCGUGUGGUGAAGGCUUCUACAGCAAAAAUGCCUCAAAUGGGUGAAAAACAUCACAUAACCAGAACAAAACCAAAUAAAGCACUCGUGGGUAAUGGUACUGAAAGCAGUGAUGCAUUUUCUGUGUCACUGCCAGUAACAGGAGACAGAAGCCCAAGCACGUUCCUGCUGUCUCUAUAUGGAGCCUAAGAAGCCAUCAGCCUUCUCGGGUCUCAGUGACCUACUUGUCCCCACACGGAGCCUGUAAUGCUCACGGGAUAUUGCAGAUGUCCCUUUUAAGAGGGAUCCCUGGGAGGCUGGAGAGAGCUCAGAGCUGCUCAGCUCCUGCUCAGGCAGGAAACCUCCUCCUGUGGGUCAAUGGGCUGGAGAACAGGUACUUACACAGAUAGUGUCUCCCGGGACAGGUCACCACAGCUCCUCCUCAGGUGACUGGUGUCCCUGAUGCCCUGACCAGGGACUGGGAGGUGCUCAGGGCCUCAGGAAGGACCAGGAAUAUCUGUAUGGAUGGGCUGCUCCUCUGAGCACACAUCAGAGCUGAGAUGAAAUGAAACCAACCCUGCAUGUGGUAGGUAAUUACCAGUGAUUACUCUGCCCUGCUUCAACCUAAUUAGCUUGCUGGAUGAUUGGUCUCCACACUUCCAUAAAACUCUGUAAAUACUCCAUAACACAGAUAUUAUAUACAUCUUUUCAGUAUUUAUUUACACAUCAAUAUUUGAUGCCUUACCAACUGUCUCUAAAUAAAACAUCACACAGGUGACAAACUUGGUGCCAAGCAGCUUCUGAAGUUAGGUUCAUCUCAUGACAACCAAAUAGACCUGGUGUUGAGGAGAGAUUUUUGUCCCUCUGCUGCAUCUGUUACUUCUUUUCAGAGGAAUUAGCAUAUAUUCUCUCAAAAUCUCCAGAGGAAGAACAUCUUGCCUAGUAGGAAAGAAACUCAGUGUACAGCAAACCCCUUCAGAACAAACACCAUUUUGCUUUCUUUUAUUUUAUUGGCCAAAACUCCCUGAGAUGGGUGCUGUAGCACUGGGAUGCUUCCUAAUUAAAGACAGGCUGAUGAUGUUCCGGGUUGCCUUCUCCCUUGCAUUGCCACCUGUGACCUGAUAAACAGCACUGGAGGAAAAAGGGUUUAUAGCAAUUUUGAUGCCAGGUUGGGACCAACCUGUUCCAGCAGAGGGGUGUGGAAGUGGCUGAGCGUGAACAGGUAAGUAGAGGAAGAUCGCUGACUUCCCAGGCUUGCAGCUGGUGGGACAGGUGGGGAAAGGGGUGGCUGUGGUUUCUGGGAGCAGCUAUUUAGCAGUAUCCAGUACUCCAGGGUUAAUCUGGCCUUGGAGAGCUCUGCCGUAGGCAAAGCCAUUUCUCUGUGGUCGUUAUGUGAUCUCCUGCUUCUGAACAAGGCCAGAUGCUGAGUCCUGCACUUGGGGCACAACCCUGUGCAGCU
Molecule: long non-coding RNA, 4854 nt
Organism: Cuculus canorus (common cuckoo)
Lineage: Eukaryota; Metazoa; Chordata; Aves; Cuculiformes; Cuculidae
Exons: 12
Source: RefSeq, a predicted model, not a curated record